Molecule: ribosomal RNA, 502 nt
Filed under: uncultured bacterium
Lineage: Bacteria
Description: partial 16S ribosomal RNA
Source: RNAcentral
GUAGUUAGCCGGGGCUUCCUCCUUGGCUACCGUCACUUUCUUCGUCACCAAGGACAGAGGUUUACAACCCGAAAGCCUUCUUCCCUCACGCGGCGUUGCUGGGUCAGGCUUGCGCCCAUUGCCCAAUAUUCCCCACUGCUGCCUCCCGUAGGAGUCUGGACCGUGUCUCAGUUCCAGUGUGGCCGAUCAGCCUCUCAGCUCGGCUACCCAUCGUUGGCUAGGUGGGCCGUUACCCCGCCUACUACCUAAUGGGACGCGAACCCCUCCUUUAGCGGAUUUCUCCUUUGACCUCUGUGUCAUGCGGCACUGUGGUCUUAUGCGGUAUUAGCACCUGUUUCCAAGUGUUAUCCCCCUCUAAAGGGCAGGUUGUUCACGCGUUACUCACCCGUCCGCCACUCAGUCAUCCAUUCCUCUUGACGAAUCUCAAGGUCAGGAGCUUCGUUCGACUUGCAUGUGUUAAGCACGCCGCCAGCGUUCGUCCUGAGCCAUGAUCAAACUCUGA